This 73-nucleotide transfer RNA is filed under the name Stegodyphus mimosarum. It matches the Rfam family "tRNA". Rfam says of the family: Transfer RNA (tRNA) molecules are approximately 80 nucleotides in length. Their secondary structure includes four short double-helical elements and three loops (D, anti-codon, and T loops). The record is from Rfam by way of RNAcentral. Lineage: Eukaryota; Metazoa; Arthropoda; Arachnida; Araneae; Eresidae.
GACUUCGUAGUGUAGUGGUCAGCACGCUAGUUGCGUAUUCCAGAGGUCCGUGGUUCGAGUCCCAGCAAAGUCG